GGGCGAUUAGCUCAGUUGGUAGAGCAUCUCCCUUACAAGGAGGAGGUCACUGGUUAGAGCCCGGUAUCGCCCACCA
This 76-nucleotide transfer RNA is filed under the name Providencia stuartii. RNAcentral's name for it is "tRNA-Val". It matches the Rfam family "tRNA". Rfam says of the family: Transfer RNA (tRNA) molecules are approximately 80 nucleotides in length. Their secondary structure includes four short double-helical elements and three loops (D, anti-codon, and T loops). The record is from RNAcentral. Lineage: Bacteria; Pseudomonadati; Pseudomonadota; Gammaproteobacteria; Enterobacterales; Morganellaceae.